This 317-nucleotide long non-coding RNA is filed under the name Rosa chinensis. Lineage: Eukaryota; Viridiplantae; Streptophyta; Magnoliopsida; Rosales; Rosaceae. The record is from RNAcentral.
GUCUCCAGAUAGGGCCCCACUAGUCCGGCUAGCUAGUGAGCGGUUCUUUCGGGCGGCCGGGCCCUACGGGCGGGCAUCUCCCGCAACGCAAGCUGCAUUGUUCGCCACCACCCGAGAAGCAAAAGAUUCGAGAGUCCAGGCUGAAAAUACAUGCAUAGAUAGUGGUCUAAUGACAAAGGCCGACGACGGAAGCUCGGGACGGAGCCGUAUGAUGCGGAAGUCUCACGUACGGUUCCCUGAGAAGGGAGUGGCUACCUACUGGAGCUUCGACCAACCACCACCGGUCAAUUCCGCUUUGGGGCCACCCCUUACUCUAC